This 440-nucleotide ribosomal RNA is filed under the name uncultured bacterium. RNAcentral's name for it is "partial 16S ribosomal RNA". It matches the Rfam family "Bacterial small subunit ribosomal RNA", at positions 338 to 795 of the family's 1533-position model. The record is from RNAcentral.
CCUACGGGGUGCAGCAGUGGGGAAUCUUGCACAAUGGGGGAAACCCUGAUGCAGCAACGCCGCGUGAGUGAAGAAGUAUUUCGGUAUGUAAAGCUCUAUCAUCAGGGAAGAAGGUGACGGUGCCUGGAAAGUAAACCCCGGCUAACUACGUGCCAGCAGCCGCGGGAAUACGUAGGGGGCAGGCGUUGUCCAGAUUUACUGGUUGUAAAGGGAGCGCAGACGGCAGUGAAAGUCUGGAGUGAAAGGCCGGGGCACAAACCAGGAAAUGCGUUGGAAACUGUACGGCUAGAGUACUGGAGGGGCAGGCGGAAUUCCUAGUGUAGCGGUGAAAUGCGUAGAUAUUAGGAGGAACACCAGUGGCGAAGGCGGCCUGCUGGAUAGUAACUGACGUUGAGGCUCGAAAGCGUGGGUAUCAAACAGGAUUAGAUACCCUUGUAGUC